This 1447-nucleotide long non-coding RNA is filed under the name Erythranthe guttata (spotted monkey flower). RNAcentral's name for it is "long non-coding RNA (EGUT_LNC001737)". Lineage: Eukaryota; Viridiplantae; Streptophyta; Magnoliopsida; Lamiales; Phrymaceae. The record is from RNAcentral.
UCCACAUCUAAUCUAAUUUAAAAUAUAAAAAAAGAAACCUUCCUAUUAAUAGUGUAAUUAAAUUGUUACAUCUAAUUCGACUGGCUGGUUUUCAACGGAUUGUCAUGUUACUGCGACAUCCCUCCAUCUCCCACUUCAGAAGAACUUUGCAGCCUUUUGAUGACCUUUUUGAUGUCCUAGUCGAGAUAAAUGGGAUUAAUGAGAGUAAUGUAACGAGUAGAAUGAAGUUAUGAAGCGACUGAAAGAUUGAAAAAAAAAAAUCUGACAUAUUCUAGAGCAUAUAGUCUUACUGUCUUACAAGUCAUUCCCUUCCUUCCCGUUACUGCAGAAAUUAAAAUAUAAAAUGAUUGCACUUUGCAAAAAAAAUAUUAGAACCUUAGAUUAAAAGCACAUAUAUUGAACUUACAUGAUGUACGGACUAAGGCUGCAUAACAGGACCUCAUUACAAAAUCUUCGAUUAAAAACACAUAAAAAUGGCAAUUAUAAAAUCUAUAAAAUGUUACCUGUAGUGCUUGGCUUUGUAGAUUCUUGGAGCAAUCAACACCAUCUUUAACAGAUUCAGUCACGAUUUUCUUGUUCGAAUAAAGGAACCAAACCUUUCUUCAACCUGAAAUUAUCAUUAUACCAAUAAAAGAACCAAACUUUGCUUCGAUCUGAAAGUAGUGUAAAUUACAAUAAAAGUUGUUGAUAAUCCAACAAGGAGAACAUACUCAAGAGAAACAAUUCGUAGAUAUUAUAUAUAUUUAUAUAUAUGUAUGUGAAUUACAGUCUCCUUGAGAAACUAGUUUACGGCUUCUGCAAGCAGACCCAAGAUUCGCAGCAUUUCCAAAUGCAUAUCAAAUUAUUCAUGUCUCUUUUGCCUUAAGAAACCUAUCAUAUACAAUCAAAUCAUCAGAAGUUAUACAUAUAACUUUAUAACACAUUGUUUUGAAAGAAAAAGUGAUAAAGCUAAGCAUAGGAACACAUUUUAUGUAGUCCAAAUCCACAUCUUCUUUAGUUAAUAAAAAUACACCAAGCACAUUCACCUAUUAGCUAUAAAUAUACAUACACAACACUCAGUUACUAUCUUUCUGCCAUGGUAAAAUUCCAUAUAGCAAUAAAUAAUAAUAAAUAAAAAUUCUCUUCACAGAAAUACAAAUCAAACCCUCGAAAUUUGAUAUAGCAUUAGAGAAAAACCAACCUUAAAUGUUAAGCAUGCAUCAAAACCUCAGAAUUAUUUCCUAACCGGAAAGCUAAUAUAUUCUUGGAUUGCACUCGCACCCCAAUAAAUUCUUGGAUUUCAAUAUGACUAUUCCAAUUUAUUCUAUCUUUUGGAAAAACAUAAAGAAGGCCAAGAAAUAAAUGUACUGUGACUUUACGAGAGAGAGAGAGGGAGAGAGAGAAAGAGAGAGAUUUUACCAGCAUUAAUCCAUCUUCUUUCCACCGAAUCGAAAUCGAAAUUCUCCAU